This 545-nucleotide long non-coding RNA is filed under the name Canis lupus dingo (dingo). Its description in RNAcentral is "lncRNA (ENSCAFG00020011086.1)". Lineage: Eukaryota; Metazoa; Chordata; Mammalia; Carnivora; Canidae. The record is from RNAcentral.
AGCGAGCUCCCUCCCACGCCGCGGCUGCUACUCCGAGGGCGGCGCGGAGCCCGGCCUUGGCCUUGGCCUCCGGGCGCCGGGGCUGCUGCCGCCGCGGGGCUUGCUGCUGCGCCUGCCGCUGCCGGGCCCGAGGCUGCCGCCGCCGCCGCUCGGGGACGCCAGGCUCCGGUGCCUUCGGUGCCUUCGCUCCCGCUCCCACGUUCACAACCCCGAGGGCCGGGGAGAGGCGUCCGCGCGAGGUCGGAAUUGGGAUUAAUAACAAGCGGCCGGCGGAGCUGGGGGGACUGGCGGGGCGUCACACGUCCACGUCCACAGAGCCAUGCUGCGGAGGAGGCCGGCGAACCCUCCUCGCCCGGUGUUCCUGCCGGACGCGGCGCCGUUUGCCGCUCGCAGGCCUGAGGCGGCCUGAGCGGGAAGCGCUGCUCGGGAGCUAACGAGACGUCAGGAAGUAACUCUUCUUGCAAGAGUUUCCAGAACAACUGAAAGAUGGUUGAAGAAAGAGAGCAAGAUCAAGAGAACUACAGAGCCAGGCAAGUAUUUAGAAA